RNAcentral lists this long non-coding RNA (343 nucleotides) under Mus musculus (house mouse). Its description in RNAcentral is "ilncRNA-EC17". The record is from RNAcentral. Lineage: Eukaryota; Metazoa; Chordata; Mammalia; Rodentia; Muridae.
UAGGCAGGGUGUGUGUAUUAGCAGCAGUGUGUGUGCAUAGGCAGCAGUGUGUGCAUAGGCAGCAGUGUGUGCAUAGGCAGCAGUGUGUGUGCAUAGGCAGCAGUGUGUGCAUAGGCAGCAGUGUGUGUGCAUAGGCAGCAGUGUGUGCAUAGGCAGCAGUGUGUGCAUAGGCAGCAGUGUGUGCAUAGGCAGCAGUGUGUGUGCGUAGGCAGCAGUGUGUGCAUUAGCAGCAGUGUGUGCAUUAGCAGCAGUGUGUGUAUAGUAUCAGUGUGUCCAUUGGCAGCUGUGUGUCCAUGGGCAGCAGUGUGUUGGUUUGUUAGGUGGUGAAAGAUUGAUCUGCGUG